GAGUGGCGAACGGGUGAGUAACACGUGGGUAACCUGCCCAUCAGAAGGGGAUAACACUUGGAAACAGGUGCUAAUACCGUAUAACAAUCGAAACCGCAUGGUUUUGAUUUGAAAGGCGCUUUCGGGUGUCGCUGAUGGAUGGACCCGCGGUGCAUUAGCUAGUUGGUGAGGUAACGGCUCACCAAGGCCACGAUGCAUAGCCGACCUGAGAGGGUGAUCGGCCACAUUGGGACUGAGACACGGCCCAAACUCCUACGGGAGGCAGCAGUAGGGAAUCUUCGGCAAUGGACGAAAGUCUGACCGAGCAACGCCGCGUGAGUGAAGAAGGUUUUCGGAUCGUAAAACUCUGUUGUUAGAGAAGAACAAGGAUGAGAGUAACUGUUCAUCCCUUGACGGUAUCUAACCAGAAAGCCACGGCUAACUACGUGCCAGCAGCCGCGGUAAUACGUAGGUGGCAAGCGUUGUCCGGAUUUAUUGGGCGUAAAGCGAGCGCAGGCGGUUUCUUAAGUCUGAUGUGAAAGCCCCCGGCUCAACCGGGGAGGGUCAUUGGAAACUGGGAGACUUGAGUGCAGAAGAGGAGAGUGGAAUUCCAUGUGUAGCGGUGAAAUGCGUAGAUAUAUGGAGGAACACCAGUGGCGAAGGCGGCUCUCUGGUCUGUAACUGACGCUGAGGCUCGAAAGCGUGGGGAGCAAACAGGAUUAGAUACCCUGGUAGUCCACGCCGUAAACGAUGAGUGCUAAGUGUUGGAGGGUUUCCGCCCUUCAGUGCUGCAGCUAACGCAUUAAGCACUCCGCCUGGGGAGUACGACCGCAAGGUUGAAACUCAAAGGAAUUGACGGGGGCCCGCACAAGCGGUGGAGCAUGUGGUUUAAUUCGAAGCAACGCGAAGAACCUUACCAGGUCUUGACAUCCUUUGACCACUCUAGAGAUAGAGCUUCCCCUUCGGGGGCAAAGUGACAGGUGGUGCAUGGUUGUCGUCAGCUCGUGUCGUGAGAUGUUGGGUUAAGUCCCGCAACGAGCGCAACCCUUAUUGUUAGUUGCCAUCAUUCAGUUGGGCACUCUAGCAAGACUGCCGGUGACAAACCGGAGGAAGGUGGGGAUGACGUCAAAUCAUCAUGCCCCUUAUGACCUGGGCUACACACGUGCUACAAUGGGAAGUACAACGAGUCGCGAAGUCGCGAGGCUAAGCUAAUCUCUUAAAGCUUCUCUCAGUUCGGAUUGUAGGCUGCAACUCGCCUACAUGAAGCCGGAAUCGCUAGUAAUCGCGGAUCAGCACGCCGCGGUGAAUACGUUCCCGGGCCUUGUACACACCGCCCGUCACACCACGAGAGUUUGUAACACCCGAAGUCGGUGAGGUAACCUUUUGGAGCCAGCCGCCUAAGGUGGGAUAGAUGA
RNAcentral lists this ribosomal RNA (1394 nucleotides) under Enterococcus durans. RNAcentral's name for it is "16S ribosomal RNA". It matches the Rfam family "Bacterial small subunit ribosomal RNA". Lineage: Bacteria; Bacillati; Bacillota; Bacilli; Lactobacillales; Enterococcaceae. The record is from RNAcentral.